UUAAUUGAAGAGUUUGAUCAUGGCUCAGAUUGAACGCUGGCGGCAGGCCUAACACAUGCAAGUCGAGCGGCAGCACAGAGGAACUUGUUCCUUGGGUGGCGAGC
This 104-nucleotide ribosomal RNA is filed under the name Vibrio cholerae. Its description in RNAcentral is "partial 16S ribosomal RNA". It matches the Rfam family "Bacterial small subunit ribosomal RNA", at positions 1 to 103 of the family's 1533-position model. The record is from RNAcentral. Lineage: Bacteria; Pseudomonadati; Pseudomonadota; Gammaproteobacteria; Vibrionales; Vibrionaceae.